AUUGAACGCUGGCGGCAUGCCUUAACACAUGCAAGUCGAGCGAUGAAGCACCUUCGGGUGUGAAUUAGCGGCGAACGGGUGAGGAACACGUGAGAAAUCUGCCUUCAACUCUGGGAUAACUCCGUGAAAACGGGGCUAAUACCGGAUAUGAAACCUGCGGGCAUCCGCGGGUUUGGAAAGUUUUUCGGUUGAAGAUGAUCUCGCGGCCUAUCAGCUUGUUGGUGAGGUAAUGGCUCACCAAGGCGACGACGGGUAGCCGGCCUGAGAGGGCGACCGGCCACACUGGGACUGAGACACGGCCCAGACUCCUACGGGAGGCAGCAGUGGGGAAUAUUGGGCAAUGGAGGAAACUCUGACCCAGCGACGCCGCGUGCGGGAUGAAGGCCUUCGGGUUGUAAACCGCUUUCAGCAGGGAAGAAGCGAAAGUGACGGUACCUGCAGAAGAAGCACCGGCUAACUAUGUGCCAGCCGCCGCAGUAA
Molecule: ribosomal RNA, 480 nt
Filed under: uncultured bacterium
Lineage: Bacteria
Description: partial 16S ribosomal RNA
Rfam family: Bacterial small subunit ribosomal RNA
Source: RNAcentral